UUUUGAAUGAACCAUCCCCAGUGUACAAAUCAGAGAAUGGAUAUAUAUUAAGAUUAUACAAUUUGCCAAAGAUGCCACAGGUCGGAUCAGCAAUCUUCACAGCAUCUGCACCAGGAGAAGAUUCCACCUCAAGAAACUACUUUAUUUGAUCAUCCAUAAGAAGCAACUCUUCAUCGGCUCAAGGUUUAUCAGGAUGACAGUAAUUCAGUCAAAUCCUCAGGCUCCACUUCUAAUUCUAGUUCUCCACCACAUCUACAGUUACUUCCUCCACUGGGGUCUUGAGCCCCACAAAGUCAUCCCUGAGGGUUAGAAUCGACUUCAUCCAAUCUACUGUCCGUUGAUAUUUUCCAUUUUCCCAUGAAUCAUGAAAGUUCUUAAUCAUAUCCAGAAUAAUGAAUCCUUUUCAGAAGUUUUUCAGUUUACUUUGCCAAGAUGCACCAGAGAAAUCAUCAUCUGUGAUACCUAGAGCCUUAUGAAAUGUAGUUCUUAAAUAAUAAUUUUGAAAGUCAAAAUUGCUCCUUGACCCAAGGGCCUCAGAAUGCAUGUGUGUUAGAAGGCAGGAAAACAACAUUAAUUGCAUUUACAUCUCCAUCAGAGUUCUUGGGUGACCAGGAGUGUUGUCAAGGAGCAGUAGUAUUUUGAAAGAAAUCAUUUCUUUCUGAUAAGUAGUUUUCAACAGAGAACUUAAUAUAUUCAGUACACCAUGUUGUCAACAGAUGCGCUGUCAUCCAGGCUUUAUUGUUCCAUUUACAGAGCAAAGACAGAUUAGAUUUAGCACCAUUCUUAAGGGCUGUAGGAUUCUCAGAAUGGCAAAUGUGCAUUGGCUUCAACUGAAAGUCACCGGCCACAUUAGGCCCCAACAAAAGCGUCAGCUGUGAAGCCAUAUCCUCUCUACUCUAAAAGUCUUAGAUUGCAUUUUCUUCCACUAUAAGGCUAUUUUAUCUACAUUGACAAUCUGUUGUUUAGUGUACCACCCUCACUAAUUAUCUCAGAUCUGCUGGAUAGCUUGCUGAAGCUUCUACAUCAACACUUGCUGUCUCACUUUGCACUUUGAUGUUCUGAAGAUGGCUUCUUUUCCAUAAACCUCCUGAACCAACCUGAGCUGGCUUUGAACUUUUCUUCUGCAGCUUCCUCCCCUCUUUCAGUCUUCACAGAAAAGAAGAGAGUUAAAGCUUUGCUCUGGAUUAGGCUCUGGCUUAAGAGAAUGUGGUGGCUUAUCUGAUCUUCUAUUCAGAUCACUAAAACCUCUCCAAAUCAG
This is a long non-coding RNA of Suricata suricatta (meerkat), 1258 nucleotides long. RefSeq lists it as uncharacterized. The transcript has 2 exons. The record is from RefSeq and is a predicted model, not a curated record. Lineage: Eukaryota; Metazoa; Chordata; Mammalia; Carnivora; Herpestidae.